Carassius auratus (goldfish) is the source of this 505-nucleotide long non-coding RNA. RefSeq lists it as uncharacterized. NCBI's taxonomy places the organism in Eukaryota, Metazoa, Chordata, Actinopteri, Cypriniformes, Cyprinidae. The record is from RefSeq and is a predicted model, not a curated record. The transcript has 5 exons.
GACGCUGUCUCUCAUGGUUGUUUUCACUAAUUUCAGAAAUGGUCAGUGUCUUCAGAAAAAGUCCGUUAGCAUCUCAACUGUAAUGCUAACUACAAGAGUUAUUUUGAUGUCCACACUGUAAGAGUAUUAAUCGAUUCUUCCAUGCUGAUGGCCAUGCGUGUAUCCAGCUGAAGAACAUUUUUAGACAUUAUGAAACAUAUAACUAAGACUGAAAAUCAUUGAUAAACCACAAGGUAAUUGUGAAUAAACUUAUUGGAAGAGGAAUAAUAAGAAGAAAAGAAAAUGCAUGUGUGAUUUAAUAUUGCUUCUUAUUUUUCAGUGUUGAAAAGUUCUUUCUUGUCAUCUUUGUGCAUUUCAGAUGUUGUGCAUAUUUAUGGAUAAAAAUUUUUAACGUUGUUUAACUUUUUAACAUUAUAAUAUUGGUUGUCUUCUCUUUUUUCAGAGUUUAGCUCCAACCCCAGUUAAGCAGACCUGAGCAGCUGAUCAAGGAUCAGCAGAAACUCUG